RNAcentral lists this ribosomal RNA (300 nucleotides) under uncultured Fulvivirga sp. RNAcentral's name for it is "bacterial SSU rRNA". It matches the Rfam family "Bacterial small subunit ribosomal RNA", at positions 496 to 795 of the family's 1533-position model. Lineage: Bacteria; Pseudomonadati; Bacteroidota; Cytophagia; Cytophagales; Fulvivirgaceae. The record is from RNAcentral.
GGAAACGCGGGGCCAGCAGGGGGGGUAAUGCGUAGGGGGGGAGCGGUGUCCGGAAUGAUUGGGCGUAAAGGGCUCGUAGGCGGUUUGUGGCGUCGGGAGGGAAAUCCACUGGCGUAACUGGUGGCUGGCUUUCGAUACGGGCAGACUGGAGGUAUGCAGGGGAGAACGGAAUUCCUGGUGUAGCGGUGAAAUGCGCAGAUAUCAGGAGGAACACCGGUGGCGAAGGCGGUUCUCUGGGCAUGUCCUGACGCUGAGGAGCGAAAGUGUGGGGAGCGAACAGGAUUAGAUACCCGUGUAGUC